RNAcentral lists this ribosomal RNA (445 nucleotides) under uncultured bacterium. RNAcentral describes it as "bacterial SSU rRNA". It matches the Rfam family "Bacterial small subunit ribosomal RNA", at positions 354 to 796 of the family's 1533-position model. The record is from RNAcentral.
GUGAGGAAUAUUGCGCAAUGGAGGCAACUCUGACGCAGCCAUGCCGCGUGCAGGAAGAAGGCGCUACGCGUUGUAAACUGCUUUUAACCGGGAAGAAACCCCAGGACGUGUCCUGGGUUGACGGUACCGGAGGAAUAAGCACCGGCUAACUUCGUGCCAGCAGCCGCGGUAAUACGAAGGGUGCAAGCGUUAUCCGGAUUCAUUGGGUUUAAAGGGUGCGUAGGCGGAGCGUUAAGUCAGUGGUGAAAUCCUGCAGCUUAACUGUAGACUUGCCAUUGAUACUGGCGCUCUUGAGUGCGCUUGAAGUGGGCGGAAUGGGGCGUGUAGCGGUGAAAUGCUUAGAUAUGGCACAGAACACCAAUUGCGAAGGCAGCUCACUAAGGCGAUACUGACGCUGAGGCACGAAAGCGUGGGGAUCGAACAGGAUUAGAAACCCGUGUAGUCC